GCACCGGCUGGCACGGCGGAGGGAGCCCCGGUGUCCGGGGCACCGGCCGGAACGGCGGAGGAAGCCCCGGUGUCCGAGGCACCCGCCGGCACG
This 93-nucleotide transfer RNA is filed under the name Rugosimonospora africana. RNAcentral describes it as "tRNA-Pro". Lineage: Bacteria; Bacillati; Actinomycetota; Actinomycetes; Micromonosporales; Micromonosporaceae. The record is from RNAcentral.